UACGGAGGGUGCGAGCGUUAAUCGGAAUUACUGGGCGUAAAGCGUGCGUAGGCGGUUUGAUAAGUCGGGUGUGAAAGCCCCGGGCUUAACCUGGGAAUUGCAUUCGAUACUGUCUGACUCGAGUCUGGGAGAGGGAAGCGGAAUUCCGGGUGUAGCGGUGAAAUGCGUAGAUAUCAGGAGGAACACCAAUGGCGAAGGCAGCUCGCUGGGACGGUACUGACACUGAGACGCGAAAGCGUGGGGAGCAAACAGG
RNAcentral lists this ribosomal RNA (253 nucleotides) under uncultured bacterium. Its description in RNAcentral is "partial 16S ribosomal RNA". It matches the Rfam family "Bacterial small subunit ribosomal RNA", at positions 524 to 776 of the family's 1533-position model. The record is from RNAcentral.